This 497-nucleotide ribosomal RNA is filed under the name uncultured bacterium. RNAcentral describes it as "partial 16S ribosomal RNA". It matches the Rfam family "Bacterial small subunit ribosomal RNA", at positions 28 to 507 of the family's 1533-position model. The record is from RNAcentral.
GAUGAACGCUGGCGGCGCGCCUAAUACAUGCAAGUCGAGCGAACAGACGAGGAGCAUGCUCCUCUGACGUUAGCGGCGGACGGGUGAGUAACACGUGGAUAAACUACCUAUAAGACUGGGAUAACUUCGGGAAACCGGAGCUAAUACCGGAUAAUAUAUUGAACCGCAUGGUUCAAUAGUGAAAGACGGUUUUGCUGUCACUUAUAGAUGGAUCCGCGCCGCAUUAGCUAGUUGGUAAGGUAACGGCUUACCAAGGCAACGAUGCGUAGCCGACCUGAGAGGGUGGUCGGCCACACUGGAACUGAGACACGGUCCAGACUCCUACGGGAGGCAGCAGUAGGGAAUCUUCCGCAAUGGGCGAAAGCCUGACGGUACAACGCCGCGUGAGUGAUGAAGGUCUUCGGAUCGUAAAACUCUGUUAUUAGGGAAGAACAAAUGUGUAAGUAACUAUGCACGUCUUGACGGUACCUAAUCAGAAGGCCACGGUUAACUACAUG